AAGCAGUUAAACUUGAGAGUUUUAAUAGUAGUUUCAAUGANGCAGUUGAAACAAGAAAUCAGUAUAUUACCUGGUAGGACCUUAGCUGUGAGCAUGUACUUGCACUAAGUCAAAUUUUCCACCAUUCUGGACAUGUUUGUGAAUGACCAUGAAAACCCUGUAUUGAUUUUGAGAUUAUAAAUAUGUUUUAGCAAGUAGGCAAGUUUGUAAAUAAAGAAUUUGGGAAUAAUGAGGAAUGAAUGUGUCUUCUUAAUAAAUUUUAGUCUUGAGCUG
This 273-nucleotide long non-coding RNA is filed under the name Marmota monax (woodchuck). The record is from RNAcentral. Lineage: Eukaryota; Metazoa; Chordata; Mammalia; Rodentia; Sciuridae.